AACCAGGUUGGUUUAUGACUUUAUCUAUGACUGCUCUUAUCUUCUGUUCACCUGGAUAUUCCUAUUCCAGUGUGUGUGAGACAGAGAUAGAGGUUACUUCACUUGCUUUGGCAAUGUUUACAUAUGCUUCCCAUAACAAUAACGCCCUUAAAUGAGAGAGAGAGAGAUGUUACGAGCGAGGGACAGAGAGAGACAGUUAAUUAUAAUCUUACUUGCUGUGGAAAUGAGUCUGAUCCAGUAGUUAGUAGAGUAGUCUGAUCCAGGUGUGUUUUAGACCAGUAGUUAGUAGUCUGAUCCAGGUGGGUUUUAGACCAGUAGUUAGUAGAGUAGUCUGAUCCUGGUGUGUUUUAGACCGGUAGUUAGUAGAGUAGUCUGAUCCAGGUGUGUUUUAGACCAGUACUUAGUAGAGUAGUCUGAUCCAGGUGUGUUUUAGACCAGUAGUUAGUAGUCUGAUCCAGGUGUGUUUUAGACCGGUAGUUAGUAGAGUAGUCUGAUCCUGGUGUGUUUUAGACCGGUAGUUAGUAGAGUAGUCUGAUCCAGGUGUGUUUUAGAUCAGUAGUUAGUAGUCUGAUCCAGGUGUGUUUUAGACCAGUAGUUAGUAGUCUGAUCCAGGUGUGUUUUAGACCAG
Molecule: long non-coding RNA, 628 nt
Organism: Oncorhynchus tshawytscha (Chinook salmon)
Lineage: Eukaryota; Metazoa; Chordata; Actinopteri; Salmoniformes; Salmonidae
Source: Ensembl